RNAcentral lists this ribosomal RNA (508 nucleotides) under uncultured bacterium. RNAcentral's name for it is "partial 16S ribosomal RNA". It matches the Rfam family "Bacterial small subunit ribosomal RNA", at positions 899 to 1397 of the family's 1533-position model. The record is from RNAcentral.
ACUCAAAUGAAUUGACGGGGACCCGCACAAGCGGUGGAGCAUGUGGUUUAAUUCGAGGCUACGCGAGGAACCUUACCUAGGCUUGACAUGUUAGCAGUAGGUGGGAUGAAAGUUCCGCCGACCGUAUCCAAUCGGAGGCUUACACAGGUGCUGCAUGGCUGUCGUCAGCUCGUGCUGUGAAGUGUUGGGUUAAGUCCCGCAACGAGCGCAACCAUUGCCCCUAGUUGCCAUCAGGUAAAGCUGGGAACUCUAGGGGGACUGCCGGUGAUAAACCGGAGGAAGGUGGAGAUGACGUCAAGUCAGCAUGGCCCUUACGCCUAGGGCGACACACGUGCUACAAUGGUCGGUACAAUGGGUUGCGAACCCGCGAGGGGGAGCCAAUCCCAAAAAGCCGACCCCAGUUCGGAUUGAAGGCUGCAAUUCGCCUUCAUGAAGCUGGAAUCGCUAGUAAUGGCGUAUCAGCCACGACGCCGUGAAUACGUUCCCGGGUCUUGUACACACCGCCCGU